This 66-nucleotide transfer RNA is filed under the name Hydatina physis. RNAcentral describes it as "tRNA-Asn". The record is from RNAcentral. Lineage: Eukaryota; Metazoa; Mollusca; Gastropoda; Aplustridae.
UUGGACAAAGCUCUAUUUGAAGCAUCUAACUGUUAAUUAGAAAGGAGGUAUAUUUACCUGUUCAAU